UCAUAAUUAUAUUGAUUGAGGUUUGUAAUGAAGAUCAUUUUGUAGCUGGCAUAAAAGAAACAUCAACUGGUCUCCUCACGAACACUGAAGUUGGUCUGAAGUGUUACAGAUAAUACAUUUUCGGUAGAAUCUCGACCUGGUGUUAAGAGUAUAGAGACCCACGGUUUCAAUGUCCCUUCCUGAUUGGUUGCUAAAUGCCAAGUGGGUGGGUCUUAUCUGAUAUGAGUGAGUUAGAAGCCGAUGCCAAAAAGAGGGAAGGAAAACAAAUGCAAAAAAGUUGGCGUAAUGCAGAAUAGUGGGGAAAAAAGUGAAGUAGCCUUUUGUUUAAAAGUCAAAUGAACUGAAAUAAACUCCAAGCUGUAACGUGGCGCCCUGUUGCCAAAAGACGAGAAGACAUGUGAAACGGAGGCUCAGAAAAACCACCCACUCACGGGAGACGGAUCAAACGUUCUCAAAAAAACAACAACUCUCUUCUCUCUCUUCUCCCUCUCUUUCUCUCUGAGGGUUGCAUGCUGGGAGACUAUGAUGUGGUUUUGGAAGUCCAGUAGCGUCUCUGGUAUUUGUACAGUAGUGGACAUGAGGCUGCGAAUACAGAGACAUCAAAGUAAAAUCAGAUAAAGCGGUCGAGAAUGUUGAGAGAGUCUGAAGCUCACGGCCUCGAUGUCCCCAGCAGACCCAGAUGUUCCGACCAGACCCAGAUGUUCUGACCUUUGAACUUUCUGGGGUUUUGAUGGAAGAACUCAACCCUGAUCCUGGGCUUUUUAUACCCAGGAUGAACUGCUAUUACGACAGCGAUGGGGACAUGAAGAAAGGGACGAAGAGGGAAAAUCUCUUCUCCCUCCGGAGCCCUAAACGUGCUGCCCGUCUGUAGGAACAUGGCGUUCACCGUGCAACCAGGUGUGUGAGCUGGUAUAAGUGUGUGCAGGUGGGUACACACUCCCAGUAAAAAAAGAGAGAGCUUCAUCAUUCCUGGUUGUUCAGACCCAGAGUCACAAAUCUGUCACUGGUCAAUUUCUAACGCACCUCCGCCAGCAUUGCCUCGACUUAUCACUUCCUUUAAAGCACAAAAGGCCCCCAGUUUUAGCUGGAGGAAGGGAGGGAUAGACGAAACAAGAGACGCAUGUGGUAAUGUGCAUACCACUGACCAACCUUGUAGAAUAUGCUUUGCCAAUAGUUUGCUUAAUGCUCAUGCCAAUAAAGCUAAUUUGAAUGUAUUUGUACAAUAAUAGUGGAUUUACAUUUCAAAAACACAACAUUAAACCAGCGUUUCAAAACCUGGUGGACAGGACCCACCAAAGGGUCAAACAAUCUGGACAGUUUGACCUCUUCAGGUCUUUAAAAUUAAAUGAAACAAUCUGAAACGUGACAUACAACUUAGGGAUGUCUACAGCUACACACAGACAUACAUGAAAAAAUAGAUGAGGGGUCACAAGCAGAUAUUUCUUGGCUUUAGGGGAACCAGUACACUAGAAGAUAACAUAAAGCUGGGCUUACACUGCAUGCUUUUAGAAAUGUUGUUUAAUUCCAACCCCUACUGUAUAGGUAAAUUAUCUAUGGACCAUUGUGGCUAUAGACAAAAAAAAGUUUGGUUUGAAAGCACCAAGGCAGGUAGAAGUUUCUUUGCUAGCAAUUGCUAACAAGGCAGAAACUUGCUGCCUUGAUCAUCUGUGCCACGCUGUGUGCCGAUUGUCGAAAGGAGGAGGAGGAGGAAACAAACAAAAGAGACAUGCAUGCAGUUGCCACAGCUCCACCGGCCUCCAUACUUUCCAUCCACAUAGCGCUUCGUGUUGGCAUAGAACUUUCAGACACUGUGAGAUGCAGCGAGAAAAAAGGCACAGAUUUGGGGGAAUCAACUCGUGGCUCAGCUUCAAAUGGGCAAGAGUCUGACAGUGGCAGACCGAGAUGUCCAACGGCCGUUCGGGAGCAGUCGCCCAACAAAGCACUCACUCUAAAAUGAGUCGCGUGGCUCAUAAAUUGUGUCAGCAACAAUCUGAAAUCAUACACUGUAUUCCCAGUUCACAAUAGUUAUACUUAAUAUUUAUUUAAUUUGGUCUAAUUUUUACUUCAUUUUCUGACAUUAUAAUCGCUGUUUUGUCUCUUUAUGUUUUGGCAGCACAAAUGUAUUUUACAUUUCUUACCAAUAAACCAAAAUUCAAAAAUGAAAUGAAAAAGAAAAAAAGAAAGAAAGAGAAAAACAUACAAAGAAAAAGUGAUUUAUUUUAUGAAUGCAUCCUAUUGCAUUUGUAUUGAUAUUUUUGGACUGCUUUGGCAAUAUAUGUAUAUGUACAUCACGGUAAUAAAGCUCAUUGAAAUUUGCAUUUUUUAUACAAUAUGCAGGAUGUUACAAUGUACGUUUUUCCCUUCAGUUGCUUUAAGGUAAGAAAAAUAAAUGUAUUGUCUGCG
Long non-coding RNA from Dicentrarchus labrax (European seabass), 2403 nucleotides. RefSeq lists it as uncharacterized. NCBI's taxonomy places the organism in Eukaryota, Metazoa, Chordata, Actinopteri, Moronidae. The record is from RefSeq and is a predicted model, not a curated record. The transcript has 2 exons.